GAAAGAGAAGAAUCCGAAUUUUUUUUUCGAGCUUGAACUCGAGGACAAUCAGUCCAUUAAGCUUGCUUUUUGGGCAGAUGCAAGGAGCAGAGCUGCCUGUGAGUAUUUUAGAGAUGUUAUUUCAUUUGACACCACCUACAAUACAAACAGGUAUAAUCUGGUUUGUGAUUUUUUUGUCGGGGUGAAUCAUCACGGUCAGUCAAUACUUCUUGGAUGUGCUUUGAUGAAAAACGAAGAAAUUAAAUCAUUCAAAUGGUUAUUUCAAUAUUGGCUUCAUUGCAUGGGAGGAAAUGCUCCAAAAGGGAUUCUCACCAAUCAAUGCGCGUCAAUGAAAAGGGCUCUCGAGGCUUGUAUGCCCACAAUAAUUCACCGUUGGUGUAUUUGGCACAUCACGAAGAAGAUUCCAAGCAAAUUAAACGGGUACAAGGGACAU
Non-coding RNA from Arachis ipaensis, 433 nucleotides. NCBI's taxonomy places the organism in Eukaryota, Viridiplantae, Streptophyta, Magnoliopsida, Fabales, Fabaceae. The record is from RefSeq and is a predicted model, not a curated record.